UAAAAGAAGAAGCCAAAACAGACCCCAUCCUCAUCAAACACAGUUGCACCCUUCACCUCUUUCGUCUGCCAAUUUCACUGAUACAAUCAAUCUGAAGAUCAAACACACUCACAUGUCUGCAUUUCAUCAACCAAAUCUCAUUCUCCAGUCGAAUUCCGUUUCCCCCAAUUUUCACCAUCGGCAGUUGUUCAUAAUUAUUCGUAAUUUGUUCACAAUUAUGACAAAAUUGAGAAUGCAUUUGAAACACCCACACUUAAUGAACGCAAAUGGAUUUACCCUAUAACAAUUGCAUCCAUCAUCGCCCUAUUCCUCCUCUUUCUAACAACCCUAACUUUACCAACCGGCACUCCACUCCUCCCUCUCUACAGUCGUUACACCACUGUCAGCCUUCGUCGAACACAAGCUCCACCCCCUCCCGAUCUCCACACUCCCUCCUCCGCCUCGGUUAGCAUGCCUCGUCUCCGGCUCCAAACGGGACGGUUCCAUGCCCUGGCUACAAUGUACUAAUGUAGAUUUGGUGAUGACUUUUGACGGAGAUCACAAGCAAUGGAUGUUUGGAAAGAAUGGUGCAGUCAAAUUACAACUAGCUGGUUCUGUUCAUCCAUUAUUCACCGGUUCUAUUCAUCCAUCAAUCACCAAAAGGUUGUUACUGUAAGGCUCCAAAUAUGCUCUUUCGUCUUUCUUGUUUUGUUCCACUGCUUUCUUCUUAAAAUCUUCAAGACAGACAAUGAUGUGGAGCUUUACAAACAUAUGACCUAAUUGUAUUGUUACAUAUUAUAAUAGUUGCUACUUUUUGUUGUUUAGUAUGGGAAUGAGUUAUUAAUAGCUGGUAAAUGUAUAUGAUUAUAACCGUACAUGUUUCCUCGAGUGAUGUGGCCGGAGCUAGACAAGCCUUAAUUAGUGGGGUAACAUCUAUAUCAUUCUCUUUAAACUGACCGGAAAAGGUGAUUAUAGAAAAAAGACACUUGAAUAUGUGAAGCUUAAAAGGUGCGGCUGAGACACGAUGAAGAUGAUGGUUUCUUGCUGUCCGAGACAACUCAAGUGACCAGAGAAUUUGUGAAAAAUGAUCAACUUUUUGUAGCAACCUUUAUUUUCCAGUGUUAUUUUGUAUCGACAUUAAUGAAAUAUUGUUAACUUUAUAAUG
Helianthus annuus (common sunflower) is the source of this 1144-nucleotide long non-coding RNA. RefSeq lists it as uncharacterized. The record is from RefSeq and is a predicted model, not a curated record. The transcript is spliced from 3 exons. Lineage: Eukaryota; Viridiplantae; Streptophyta; Magnoliopsida; Asterales; Asteraceae.